Molecule: small nuclear RNA, 313 nt
Filed under: Notechis scutatus (mainland tiger snake)
Lineage: Eukaryota; Metazoa; Chordata; Lepidosauria; Squamata; Elapidae
Description: 7SK RNA (ENSNSUG00000001586.1)
Rfam family: 7SK RNA
About the family: 7SK was discovered as an abundant small nuclear RNA in the mid-70s but a possible function has only recently been suggested. Two independent studies have found that 7SK RNA binds the CDK9/cyclin T complex (known as elongation factor P-TEFb).
Source: Rfam by way of RNAcentral
GGAUGUGAGAGCAAUUUGGCUGCGACAUCUGUCACCCCAUUGAUUGCCAGGGUUGAUUCAGCUGAUCUGACUGGCUAGAUGGGUGUGUUCCUCCCUCACUGCUCCAUGUGUGUCCCUCCCAGAACUGCACGCUCGGUGGAAGAGGAUGACCAUCCCAGAUAGAAGGAGUGUAUCGAUCUUCGGUCAAGGAUGAGAUGUGGAAACCCGGUUUAGUCAGGAAAGCAGAAGACAUUGACUAAGAUUUAUAUUAACUUUCCUGAAGAUAAGAAAAGCAAGACAUCUUAGAGAGUUAUUUAUCUUUGUAGAGAUUAAU